This 292-nucleotide ribosomal RNA is filed under the name Lactiplantibacillus plantarum. Its description in RNAcentral is "Lactobacillus plantarum partial 16S ribosomal RNA". It matches the Rfam family "Bacterial small subunit ribosomal RNA", at positions 1 to 264 of the family's 1533-position model. The record is from RNAcentral. Lineage: Bacteria; Bacillati; Bacillota; Bacilli; Lactobacillales; Lactobacillaceae.
UUAAUUUGAGAGUUUGAUCCUGGCUCAGGACGAACGCUGGCGGCGUGCCUAAUACAUGCAAGUCGAACGAACUCUGGUAUUGAUUGGUGCUUGCAUCACGAUUUACAUUUGAGUGAGUGGCGAACUGGUGAGUAACACGUGGGAAACCUGCCCAGAAGCGGGGGAUAACACCUGGAAACAGAUGCUAAUACCGCAUAACAACUUGGACCGCAUGGUCCGAGCUUGAAAGAUGGCUUCGGCUAUCACUUUUGGAUGGUCCCGCGGCGUAUUAGCUAGAUGGUGGGGUAACGGC